Molecule: ribosomal RNA, 666 nt
Filed under: uncultured bacterium
Lineage: Bacteria
Description: bacterial SSU rRNA
Rfam family: Bacterial small subunit ribosomal RNA
Source: RNAcentral
UUGGUAAGGUAAGAGCUUACCAAGGCGACGAUCAGUAUCUGGUUUGAGAGGACGAUCAGACACACUGGAACUGAGACACGGUCCAGACUCCUACGGGAGGCAGCAGUGGGGAAUAUUGGUCAAUGGUCGCAAGACUGAACCAGCCAUGUCGCGUGAAGGAUGACGGCCCUAUGGGUUGUAAACUUCUUUUAUAUGGGAAGAAAAUUAGUUACGUGUAACUAACUGCCGGUACCAUAUGAAUAAGGAUCGGCUAACUCCGUGCCAGCAGCCGCGGUAAUACGGAGGAUCCAAGCGUUAUCCGGAUUUAUUGGGUUUAAAGGGUGCGUAGGCGGCCACUUAAGUCAGUAGUGAAAUCUCGAGGCUCAACCUCGAACGUGCUAUUGAAACUGAGUGGCUUGAGUACAGACGAGGCAGGCGGAAUGUGUUAUGUAGCGGUGAAAUGCAUAGAUAUAACACAGAACACCGAUAGCGAAGGCAGCUUGCCAGACUGUAACUGACGCUGAUGCACGAAAGCGUGGGUAGCGAACAGGAUUAGAUACCCUGGUAGUCCACGCCGUAAACGAUGAUUACUGGUUGUAGGCGAUACAUAGUCUGUGACUGAGCGAAAGCAUUAAGUAAUCCACCUGGGGAGUACGUUCGCAAGAAUGAAACUCAAAGGAAUGACGG